Molecule: ribosomal RNA, 247 nt
Filed under: uncultured bacterium
Lineage: Bacteria
Description: partial 16S ribosomal RNA
Rfam family: Bacterial small subunit ribosomal RNA
Source: RNAcentral
UUGACUGAGUGGCGGACGGGUGAGUAACGCGUGGGUAACCUGCCUCAUACAGGGGGAUAACAGUUAGAAAUGACUGCUAAUACCGCAUAAGACCACAGUACCGCAUGGUACAGGGGUAAAAACUCCGGUGGUAUGAGAUGGACCCGCGUCUGAUUAGGUAGUUGGUGGGGUAACGGCCUACCAAGCCGACGAUCAGUAGCCGACCUGAGGGGGUGACCGGCCACAUUGGGACUGAGACACGGCCCAA